This 218-nucleotide unclassified non-coding RNA is filed under the name Hevea brasiliensis (rubber tree). The record is from RNAcentral. Lineage: Eukaryota; Viridiplantae; Streptophyta; Magnoliopsida; Malpighiales; Euphorbiaceae.
AGAUCCUCGAGGGAGAGAAGGUGUACAAAAUGAUUGUUGCUAUUGGAAACUGUAAUUUCCUGACAUUUUAACUUGGAUCAGAGUUGGCAGGUUGGAAAUUUUAUGACAUUCAAACUUAGGAUCAGGUAUCUCCCAAAGUGAUCCAAUGUUUAUCACUAUUUAAGGCCAAUAAAGCCAGGAUACAUUGCAUAUCCAGUCUGAUGACGGAUCAAUUUGUU